GCCUAUACACUACCGUUACGUGCCAGCGCGACGACCCUUAAAAAGUCGUCGUCAUUAUGCCGUAACGAGUAGGACGUGCGCGGCGGAGAGCGCAGAAGGGUCUGGGCGAGAGCCCGCCUGGAGCCUCCGUCGGUGCAGAUCUUGGUGGUAGUAGCAAAUACUCCAGCGAGGCCCUGGAGGACUGAUGUGGAGAAGGGUUUCGCGUGAACAGUAGUUGCUCGCGAGUCAGUCGAUCCUAAGCUCAAGGAGAGAUCUUAUGUCGAUGUGGCGUGUUUAUUUAUAUCGUUAUUAUGAUAAAUAACGCCCUUUGAGCGAAAGGGAAUCCGGUUCCUAUUCCGGAACCCGGCAGCGGAACCGUUUCAAUAAUCGUUCCCUCGUUUAUAAACAGCGAGUGUUCGACGGGGUAACCCAAAGUGGCCUGAAGACGCCGCCGAGGGGUCCGGGAAGAGUUUUCUUUUCUGCCUGAGCGUUCGAGUUCCAUGGAAUCCUAUAGAAGGGAGAUAUGGUUCGGAACGCGAAGAGCACCGCAUUUGCGGCGGUGUCCGGAUACUCUCUGCGGACCUUGAAAAUUCAGGUGAGGGAUGUACGUGGAGAUGUCGCGCCGGUUCGUACCCAUAUCCGCAGCAGGUCUCCAAGGUGAAGAGCCUCUCGAUAGAAUAAUGUAGGUAAGGGAAGUGGGCAAAUUGGAUCCGUAACUUCGGAAUAAGGAUUGGCUCUGAGGACCGGGGCGUGUCGGGUUUGGACGGGAAGCGGAUGCGGCCGGUGCCGGGCCUGGUCGAUGCUCGUGCGUCCCUCGGGGCGUGAGGGCUGAAUCCGGACCCGCGUUCCGGCCUUCCGCGGAUCUUCCUAGCCGUAAGGUCGCGUCGGUUUCGCUUCGUGCGGGAUCGGCGCGCUCCUGUACGACCGCCGUUCAACGGUCAGCUCAGAACUGGCACGGACAAGGGGAAUCCGACUGUCUAAUUAAAACAAAGCAUUGCGAUGGCCCUAGCGGGUGUUGACGCAAUGUGAUUUCUGCCCAGUGCUCUGAAUGUCAACGUGAAGAAAUUCAAGCAAGCGCGGGUAAACGGCGGGA
Molecule: long non-coding RNA, 1072 nt
Organism: Papilio machaon (common yellow swallowtail)
Lineage: Eukaryota; Metazoa; Arthropoda; Insecta; Lepidoptera; Papilionidae
Exons: 2
Source: RefSeq, a predicted model, not a curated record